AGAGUUUGAUCCUGGCUCAGAACGAACGCUGGCGGCAUGCCUAACACAUGCAAGUCGAACGAGAUCUUCGGGUCUAGUGGCGCACGGGUCCGUAACGCGUGGGAAUCUGCCCUUUGGUUCGGAAUAACAGUUGGAAACGACUGCUAAUACCGGAUGAUGACGAAAGUCCAAAGAUUUAUCGCCAGAGGAUGAGCCCGCGUAGGAUUAGCUAGUUGGUGUGGUAAAGGCGCACCAAGGCGACGAUCCUUAGCUGGUCUGUGAGGAUGAUCAGCCACACUGGGACUGAGACACGGCCCAGACUCCUACGGGAGGCAGCAGUGGGGAAUAUUGGACAAUGGGCGAAAGCCUGAUCCAGCAAUGCCGCGUGAGUGAUGAAGGCCUUAGGGUUGUAAAGCUCUUUUACCCGGGAUGAUAAUGACAGUACCGGGAGAAUAAGCUCCGGCUAACUCCGUGCCAGCAGCCGCGGUAAUACGGAGGGAGCUAGCGUUGUUCGGAAUUACUGGGCGUAAAGCGCACGUAGGCGGCUUUGUAAGUUAGAGGUGAAAGCCUGGAGCUCAACUCCAGAACUGCCUUUAAAA
Molecule: ribosomal RNA, 578 nt
Filed under: uncultured bacterium
Lineage: Bacteria
Description: bacterial SSU rRNA
Rfam family: Bacterial small subunit ribosomal RNA
Source: RNAcentral